AGGGUUUGAUCCUGGCUCAGAACGUACGCUGGCGGCACGCCUAAUACAUGCAAGUCGAACGAAGUAGCAAUACUUAGUGGCAGACGGGUGAGUAACAUGUAGGUAUCUACCCUUUGGCCUGGAAUAACACGAGGAAACUUGUGCUAAUACCGGAUAAGUCUUUACGGAGAAAGCUUUAUGCACCAUUGGAUGAGCCUGCACUUGAUUAGUUUGUUGGUGGGGUAAUGGCCUACCAAGACAAUGAUCAAUAGCUGAUUUGAGAGGAUGAUCAGCCACAUUGGGACUGAGACACGGCCCAAACUCCUACGGGAGGCAGCAGUAGGGAAUCUUGCACAAUGGAGGAAACUCUGAUGCAGCGAUGCCGCGUGAGUGAAGAAGGCCUUUGGGUUGUAAAGCUCUUUCGUCGGGGAAGAAAAUGACUGUACCCGAAUAAGAAGGUCCGGCUAACUUCGUGCCAGCAGCCGCGGUAAUACGAAGGGACCUAGCGUAGUUCGGAAUUACUGGGCUUAAAGAGUUCGUAGGUGGUUAAAAAAGUUGGUGGUGAAAUCCCAGAGCUUAACUCUGGAACUGCCAUCAAAACUUUUUAGCUAGAGUAUGAUAGAGGAAAGCAGAAUUUCUAGUGUAGAGGUGAAAUUCGUAGA
This 641-nucleotide ribosomal RNA is filed under the name uncultured bacterium. RNAcentral describes it as "bacterial SSU rRNA". It matches the Rfam family "Bacterial small subunit ribosomal RNA", at positions 8 to 694 of the family's 1533-position model. The record is from RNAcentral.